Molecule: long non-coding RNA, 777 nt
Organism: Ruditapes philippinarum (Manila clam)
Lineage: Eukaryota; Metazoa; Mollusca; Bivalvia; Venerida; Veneridae
Exons: 3
Source: RefSeq, a predicted model, not a curated record
GAGGUUGCCCACAAUCGUCAACCGGAUGAUAACAAGCAUAGCCCACAAAAUUGUGUAAUAAUAUACGGACUUGAUUAUUAUCGCUGGCAUGACGACAAGUGUGAAAACAAAUGGCAUUUUAUUUGUGAAGACCGUACUACCCUAAAAGCAAAUAUCGCACACCACACAGGGGCGACUGACGCUGUGAUAAAUCCAGUACCUACUCACCAUACGAACACAUUUCAAUGCGACACACAUGACGGUUAUAUGGAUUAAGAAAGAGACGGUACACAUCUAUGUGUGAAAAUUGUGACACAUCAACGGAACUGGGACGGCGCUCGAUCAGAUUGUAAACAUAGUGGUGGUGAUCUUGUUGUGUUGGAUACAAGCGUUAAAGCGCGAAUGAUGAGAAUGAAAUUAGUUCACGACGGUCAUUAUAACCAUCAGACUGGUUUUUGGAUAGGAGCAAAGGAUUUUCACCAAACAAACCAAUUCUCUUGGGUAAAUAAUCACCCAAUAACAGAUGGUGACUGGCACAGCGGCCAACCAAACCACCACGACGGAGGACACGACCAGGAUUGUGCUUGCAUGUGGAGUACGAACGAACACUAUCGCUGGCACGAUGAUUACUGUGCUAAAACACUUGGAUACAUAUGUGAACGAAAGUAGAAUUGCUUGCACUUACUUUUUGAAAAACGAUGACUUUUCGCUGUUAAAUUGCAUUGUGUCUUUCAUUUAGACAUAUAUCAAACAAUCACAGAUGUAGUAAAUAAUUAGAAAUAAAAGACAUUUUUACAA